GACGAACGCUGGCGGCGUGCCUAAUACAUGCAAGUCGAGCGCUUGCACAAGAAAGCUUGCUUUCUUGUUGCUUGAGCGGCGGACGGGUGAGUAACACGUGGGCAACCUGCCUAUAAGACUGGGAUAACUUCGGGAAACCGGAGCUAAUACCGGAUAAUGCUUUUGAACACAUGUUUGAAAGCUGAAAGAUGGUUUCGGCUAUCACUUAUAGAUGGGCCCGCGGCGCAUUAGCUAGUUGGUGAGGUAACGGCUCACCAAGGCGACGAUGCGUAGCCGACCUGAGAGGGUGAUCGGCCACACUGGGACUGAGACACGGCCCAG
RNAcentral lists this ribosomal RNA (321 nucleotides) under uncultured bacterium. RNAcentral's name for it is "bacterial SSU rRNA". It matches the Rfam family "Bacterial small subunit ribosomal RNA", at positions 28 to 334 of the family's 1533-position model. The record is from RNAcentral.